CUAUAUGGAUGAUGAGAACAUGAAGAGAACAGUUAUCCCUGUCUGAUGCUUAAAUGCUGAUCUUUUCAAAUCUGACACAUGG
This is a non-coding RNA of Amborella trichopoda, 82 nucleotides long. The record is from Rfam. Lineage: Eukaryota; Viridiplantae; Streptophyta; Magnoliopsida; Amborellales; Amborellaceae.